AAAAAAAUUAUACUUGUAGUUUUUAAAGAACCGUUAUACUCUAAAAGUUUAUACCGGUAGAAAAUGAUAUUGAAAUAUUUAUAUACUUAACACUCUCUCCCAGUCUCAACAUUUUUUGUAGGCCUAUGACGUGAACUUGAAUUAAAUUAAAAAAAAUUAAUAAUACUAUGAGUCUGGUAUGACUCGAACUUAGAAUUUUUUUAUUCUGAAUCAUGUUAAACAACCGUUGUAUCCUAAAAACUUAAACUAUUUUUUUCAAGAAAAAGGUAGUAAGCUACCCGCUCUAAAAUCUUAAACUAUUAAAAAAUAGGAAAAACUUCAAAAACCCUCCCUGUGGUUUCGCACUUUUUCAUUUUAGUACCUUGUGGUAUAAAGUGUAUAUAUCAAGUUAGUACCCUGUGGUUUAUCACUUUAUCACUUUAGUACCCUGUGGUUUAAAGUGUAUCAAAUUAGUACUCUGUGGUUUUAUUUUUGUAUCAAGUUAGUAUCCUGUCGUUUUAUUUUUGUAUCAAAGUAGUACCCUGUGGUUUUUAAACCGCAGGGUACUAAAGUGAUAAAGUGCGAAACCAGAGGGUACUAAAGUGAUAAAGUGCGAAACUACAGGGUACUAACUUGAUACACUUUAAACCACAGGGUACUAGAGUAAAAAGUGCAAAACCACAGGGUACUAACUUGAUACACUUUAAAUCACAGGAUAUUAAAGUGAGAAAAAGUGAAAUCACAGAGUAUUUCAUGUUGUCCCUAAAAAUUAAUAUUCAAAUAUUUUUAUAUUUAAUA
RNAcentral lists this long non-coding RNA (777 nucleotides) under Ananas comosus (pineapple). Its description in RNAcentral is "long non-coding RNA (ACOM_LNC024857)". The record is from RNAcentral. Lineage: Eukaryota; Viridiplantae; Streptophyta; Magnoliopsida; Poales; Bromeliaceae.